RNAcentral lists this long non-coding RNA (910 nucleotides) under Linum usitatissimum (flax). RNAcentral describes it as "long non-coding RNA (LUSI_LNC003255)". The record is from RNAcentral. Lineage: Eukaryota; Viridiplantae; Streptophyta; Magnoliopsida; Malpighiales; Linaceae.
UGGAGUUUGGAUGGCUUCCUCCAGUCUUGUGUUUCUCGACUCCUCGAGAACCUCGACGCUACAAACAAGAAUCAUCUAAAGCUUGGAUUGAGCUUUUCGUCUUCUAGUCUUUCCUCCAUUAAUCGGAUCCUCUUCUCACUUUCGACUUCAGCUGCGUGCUCCUCUAGCCAUUACGUUGUCCCAUUUUCUAUCUGUAAACAAGUCUACACGAGAUAUUGCCGUGAAAGAGAGCGCUGAAGCUUUUCCAAACUAUUUUGCCUUCUGGUAAGCCAAAGGUAUGUUAUUCGAUUCCCACGUCUUUAAGCUCCACCUCUGAGUUACCCGUAACUCCAGAACCUGCCGACAAUCCCGAAUCAGAGUCAUCUGACAUCCCCACUUGGCUUCAAGACGUCAAUACCUCGGGAAGCCAGGACCCUGACGAUGGUCAGUUCUUUAUCCCUUCUCUUUCCAGGUUGUUUGGCAAAUCCUCUUCCGGGAAUCACAAGAAGGUUGGUAGACGCUUGCUAUCCGGACCAAACGAUGACGAGAUCGAAAAACGGUACCCCUCGCUACCAAGAUCGAUCGAAAAAACGGACUGGUUAGAGAGAUGAGAUCGGCGAGGAGGAUGGAGUUGAUCUGACCAUGUUGUGACUGUCGAUGCGGACGAGAUAGACAGUCUGAGAUCGACCUCAAUAAUUUUCUGCUGUUCAAUUCAACUUUGAAUCUAUUCCGGCGGCAAGGGAGGUCAAAUUUGGGGUAGGGCGGGUAAGGGAGAAAGAAAGCGUUGGGAGUUUUCACUUUUUAAUUAAUUUUUAAUAGGAAAGAAAUAAUGAUGUCCCAUAUUUUUUUGUAUGAUACGGAUUUGUUUGCCACAUCAGAUGAUAUUGUAUGCAAUUUGGUCAAUAUGAAUGAGUGAAACAUUAAAAAAAUU